ACCCUGCUGUUUUAAAGUGUCUUUCACUUCGUUCCGGUAAUCCGUCAAUUUAUCAACAUUGCAUUCGUCGCUGUACACGAAGUGAGGCUAAAAAGAAGAGGGAUGAAGCGAUUGAAACAUCUGUGCUUUCCGGAACACUUUAAACAUGUUUCGUUCGUCAACGUCGACGGGAAAUUCGGCCGAGUGGUCGGAUUCGAUCGAUUGCUAUCAAUCGCGUGUGUCAACGUCACUUUUAGGCGACGCACUUCUAUUAUCGGUUUGCCGUGAUUCUCGUGUUCCAAUUGCUGACACGGUGCGCACAGAAUCUCUACCAGAGGCAGACUUCUGUGGUGGUAAAGCAUGCAAGACCUACAGCAUGAAACUUUUAGCAUAAAAUAGGUAAGCUGAUCUGUUAAUCACUUAAAGAAGUUUUAUGAGUUGCUGACAGCUUAAGAAUUUAGGAAAGUUUAAGACUGAAGUGAAUGGUAUUUUGUUACAUUAUGAAGAGAGAAUUUCUAGCGACAUGGUUGUCCCCAGGGGAAGAUCC
Megachile rotundata (alfalfa leafcutting bee) is the source of this 526-nucleotide long non-coding RNA. Lineage: Eukaryota; Metazoa; Arthropoda; Insecta; Hymenoptera; Megachilidae. The record is from RefSeq and is a predicted model, not a curated record.